Molecule: ribosomal RNA, 492 nt
Filed under: uncultured bacterium
Lineage: Bacteria
Description: partial 16S ribosomal RNA
Rfam family: Bacterial small subunit ribosomal RNA
Source: RNAcentral
AGUGAACGCUGGCGGUAGGCCUAACACAUGCAAGUCGAACGGCAGCACAGUAAGAGCUUGCUCUUACGGGUGGCGAGUGGCGGACGGGUGAGGAAUACAUCGGAAUCUACUUUUUCGUGGGGGAUAACGUAGGGAAACUUACGCUAAUACCGCAUACGACCUACGGGUGAAAGCAGGGGAUCUUCGGACCUUGCGCGAUUGAAUGAGCCGAUGUCGGAUUAGCUAGUUGGCGGGGUAAAGGCCCACCAAGGCGACGAUCCGUAGCUGGUCUGAGAGGAUGAUCAGCCACACUGGAACUGAGACACGGUCCAGACUCCUACGGGAGGCGCCAGUGGGGAAUAUUGGACAAUGGGCGCAAGCCUGAUCCAGCCAUACCGCGUGGGUGAAGAAGGCCUUCGGGUUGUAAAGCCCUUUUGUUGGGAAAGAAAAGCAGCAGGUUAAUACCCCGCUGUUCUGACGGUACCCAAAGAAUAAGCACCGGCUAACUUCGUG